GCAGCAUUAGUUAAGUUGGUUAGAGCAUGGUGCUGAUAGUGCCAAGGUCAUGGGUUCGAUCCCUGUGCAGGGCAGCUGCA
This is a non-coding RNA of Podarcis lilfordi (Lilford's wall lizard), 80 nucleotides long. The record is from the annotation of a GenBank genome assembly. Lineage: Eukaryota; Metazoa; Chordata; Lepidosauria; Squamata; Lacertidae.